GUAACUGUGGCUAUUUAAUUAUUUUAGAGGUUGGAUCCUCUUUGAUAGGAUAUACAAUGGCAUAUGAUUUAAUCUUGUUACAGUCCAAUAUUGCCAUUAAAUAAGCAGAGUGAAAAAAUAACAUCUGAAGCCUGAUUUACAAAGAAAUUGCAAACAUACUUUGCAGUCGUACGAUCAUUAACAGAUUGGUUUAUAAUUGGCAUGCAUGCUUGCUAUUUAACAAGGCCUGUGACACUCUUUGUGACACGCAAACACAAGAGGAAAAAAAAACAUCCAAAGCACAUCCUGGCCAAUGUUAUUUCAUGCAGAGAAAGGAGCGGAGCAGAGUGAAGGAAGGACUGGAAGUGAACACCCUGAUCAAAAAAACAGCACCAAUAAAGAAAACCAGAGAGAAGUCUGCACUGGAAAAACAAGUCUACAGAAAUCAGGCAAGCAGACACUGCAUUUCUACAGAUGCUCCUCAUCCCUGUGGCUUUUUCUGCAGAUGCAAAGUAUUCUACUACCAGCCUGUGAUCUGAUCAUGUGAUCUUCAAAGGUUAUUUCUACUUAGCUGGCAGUGAAGAGGCAUAAGCUGGAACUCACUUGCCCAUGAGUGGAAGAAAACACUUCUGCAGAGGAAGCCUGGCUAACUUACCAUUAAUAUGCCACAGCAUCUGAAACCCGCUUCUAGCUUGCAGUCCAUCAGAGUAAAAUUCCACAUGAAGACUGGUGCCCGUGGUGUUCCCUGCCAGUGGAAGAGACCGUCCACAGAAAGUGCCUAUCAGGUUGGACUGUACAUCAGGCCCAUCAUAGAGCUGAAAUGAAACAAAGAAUAUCCAAGUGAGUAAAAAGUGGCUUCUCAGUUGUUAGUGAUACAGGAUGGCAAAGAAAGUAAUGAAGCUUCUGACACUGGCCACCCUUACACAGCAAUACGAGUGAUUUGAAUGCAACAGCGACUGAAGGUAACCACAAAAUGUUUUAAAACCUGACUACACAGUGAGCAAAGUAGGAAGGUUUUCCUGUUUCUGUUUUGGUAUGUAUUGAGGUUACUGAGGAAGAAUGACUGACAUUAAAAAAAGGAAGAUGUUCUGGAUCCAAUUUGACUAUACUAAUAAUACUCUCAGUGCCUCCAAAUCCUUCAGUGAUAACUCAUAUUAUGCCUUUAUCUCUUUAAUGCACUCAGAUGAUUUCCCUAGGAAAUGAUGGAGUAUAUCAAGCAGUUGGCAUCACCAGAGCCUCCUGGAGUAGUGAUGAAAAACUGAAAACAAAAAGUAAAGUAAAUCCUCAAAAACCUCAAAGUAAACGUUA
Molecule: non-coding RNA, 1287 nt
Organism: Meleagris gallopavo (turkey)
Lineage: Eukaryota; Metazoa; Chordata; Aves; Galliformes; Phasianidae
Source: RefSeq, a predicted model, not a curated record